Melanotaenia boesemani (Boeseman's rainbowfish) is the source of this 181-nucleotide long non-coding RNA. RefSeq lists it as uncharacterized. The transcript has 3 exons. The record is from RefSeq and is a predicted model, not a curated record. NCBI's taxonomy places the organism in Eukaryota, Metazoa, Chordata, Actinopteri, Atheriniformes, Melanotaeniidae.
AUUCUGAACAGCAGUGGCACAAACCUCGUACUCAGGGCUUCAAACCUGGUCCGACCAAUCAGAUGGUGAUAGUAUCAGCAAGACCCAAAGAAAGAAGACUGGCUGAAGGAAUCCGGAGUAAUUUAUACAAAGCAGCCUCAAACCUGACCUGCGAGCUCCCAGACAUGACUGUGCUUCACCU